This is a long non-coding RNA of Aethina tumida (small hive beetle), 631 nucleotides long. RefSeq lists it as uncharacterized. The transcript has 3 exons. Lineage: Eukaryota; Metazoa; Arthropoda; Insecta; Coleoptera; Nitidulidae. The record is from RefSeq and is a predicted model, not a curated record.
UUGGAGCCAAUUAAAUCACGUCCCAAAGGUAAAGGAUUAAAGAAAUAUUGAAAAUGACUUAAAAUUGGACAUAAAAAUGGAUAUUAAUUUAUUAUUUCAUUAUUUUGCACCUCAUCAAAUGUACAUAAAUCAUAGAAAUGACCUGUGAACCACUGAAUCAGUGGCGCUGAUAACAUACUAGUUUGGCAAAGAUCACAAUGGUUAGUACGUCUUUAAAUCAAGAUGAGAUACGUUGUGGUAAUUUACUGUCUUUGUUCACUCGUUUAUGUUUGUAGGUGUUCACUGAAUUGCAGUUAUUCAGAUGGUAUAUUCACUUGUGAAAAAAAUAUUACAUAUUCCUAUACAAAUGGCCAAUAUAACAUCACAGUGAAUCACUGGUCACUUACAGAAGUCUACUUCUCUGAAGAUGAGUUUAAUGAGUGUUCCAAACAUAGUAAAGUCCUGAACUAUGAUGACCUACUCGCAUAUAGGCGCAAAAGGUAUGUAAUUAAGGUUUGCGAAAAAUGCAAGAGAGAUGAAGUACGGGUCUGUUCUAAUCGGUGUUAUUGUAAAAAAAGAUUUAAUUUUCAUAAUUGAUUGAAAUUAAUUGAAGUAUAUAAUAUGAAUAAAAUACGACAUGAGUUUACACUUA